AGUCGAGCGGACAGAUGGGAGCUUGCUCCCUGAUGUCAGCGGCGGACGGGUGAGUAACACGUGGGUAACCUGCCUGUAAGACUGGGAUAACUCCGGGAAACCGGGGCUAAUACCGGAUGCUUGAUUGAACCGCAUGGUUCAAUUAUAAAAGGUGGCUUUUAGCUACCACUUACAGAUGGACCCGCGGCGCAUUAGCUAGUUGGUGAGGUAACGGCUCACCAAGGCAACGAUGCGUAGCCGACCUGAGAGGGUGAUCGGCCACACUGGGACUGAGACACGGCCCAGACUCCUACGGGAGGCAGCAGUAGGGAAUCUUCCGCAAUGGACGAAAGUCUGACGGAGCAACGCCGCGUGAGUGAUGAAGGUUUUCGGAUCGUAAAACUCUGUUGUUAGGGAAGAACAAGUACCGUUCGAAUAGGGCGGUACCUUGACGGUACCUAACCAGAAAGCCACGGCUAACUACGUGCCAGCAGCCGCGGUAAUACGUAGGUGGCAAGCGUUGUCCGGAAUUAUUGGGCGUAAAGCGCGCGCAGGCGGUUUCUUAAGUCUGAUGUGAAAGCCCCCGGCUCAACCGGGGAGGGUCAUUGGAAACUGGGGAACUUGAGUGCAGAAGAGGAGAGUGGAAUUCCACGUGUAGCGGUGAAAUGCGUAGAGAUGUGGAGGAACACCAGUGGCGAAGGCGACUCUCUGGUCUGUAACUGACGCU
Molecule: ribosomal RNA, 706 nt
Filed under: Bacillus sp. (in: firmicutes)
Lineage: Bacteria; Bacillati; Bacillota; Bacilli; Caryophanales; Bacillaceae
Description: bacterial SSU rRNA
Rfam family: Bacterial small subunit ribosomal RNA
Source: RNAcentral